AGAGUUUGAUCCUGGCUCAGAUUGAACGCUGGCGGCAGGCCUAACCAAGUCGGGCGAGAAAUCACUUCGGUGUGAGUAGAGCGGCGGACGGGGGAGUAACGCGUAGGAAUUUGCCCAGUAGUGGGGGACAACAUGUGGAAACGCAUGCUAAUACCGCAUACGCCCUACGGGGGAAAGCAGGGGAUCUUCGGACCUUGCGCUAUUGGAGAAGCCUGCGUCGGAUUAGCUAGUUGGUGGGGUAAAGGCCCACCAAGGCGACGAUCCGUAGCUGGUCUGAGAGGAUGAUCAGCCACACUGGGACUGAGAUAUGGCCCAGACUCCUAUGGGAGGCAGCAGUGGGGAAUAUUGGACAAUGGGGGUAACCCUGAUCCAGCCAUGCCGCGUGUGUGAAGAAGGCCUUAGGGUUGUAAAGCACUUUCAGUAGGGAGGAAAAGUUAGUCGUUAAUAGCUGGCAGCUGUGACGUUACCCACAGAAUAAGCACCGGCUAACUCCGUGCCAGCAGCCGCGGUAAUACGGAGGGUGCAAGUGUUAAUCGGAAUUACUGGGCGUAAAGCGCGCGUAGGUGGCAAAGUAAGUUGGGUGUGAAAUCCCCGGGCUCAACCUGGGAACUGCAUUCAAAACUGCUUCGCUAGAGUACGGUAGAGGGAGGUAGAAUUUCAGGUGUAGCGGUGAAAUGCGUAGAGAUCUGAAGGAAUACCAGUGGCGAAGGCGGCCUCCUGGACUGAUACUGACACUGAGGUGCGAAAGCGUGGGGAGCAAACAGGAUUAGAUCCCCUGGUAGUCCACGCCGCAAACGAUGUCUACUAGCCGUAGGGCCCCUUAGAGGGUUUUGUGGCGCAGCUAACGCACUAAGUAGACCGCCUGGGGAGUACGGCCGCAAGGUUAAAACUCAAAUGAAUUGACGGGGGCCCGCACAAGCGGUGGAGCAUGUGGUUUAAUUCGAUGCAACGCGAAGAACCUUACCAGGGCUUGACAUCCUGCGAAUUUUCUAGAGAUAGAUUAGUGCCUUCGGGAACGCAGUGACAGGUGCUGCAUGGCUGUCGUCAGCUCGUGUCGUGAGAUGUUGGGUUAAGUCCCGUAACGAGCGCAACCCUUGUCCUUAGUUGCCAGCGAGUAAUGUCGGGAACUCUAAGGAGACUGCCGGUGACAAACCGGAGGAAGGUGGGGACGACGUCAAGUCAUCAUGGCCCUUACGGGGUGGGCUACACACGUGCUACAAUGGUCGGUACGGAGGGUUGCAAUGUCGCGAGGCGGAGCUAAUCUCAGAAAGCCGAUCGUAGUCCGGAUUGCAGUCUGCAACUCGACUGCAUGAAGUUGGAAUCGCUAGUAAUCGCGAAUCAGAAUGUCGCGGUGAAUACGUUCCCGGGCCUUGUACACACCGCCCGUCACACCAUGGGAGUGGGUUGCAAAAGAAGUGGGUAGUCUAACCUUCGGGAGGGCGCUCACCACUUUGUGAUUCAUGACUGGGGUGAAGUCAUAACAAGGUAGCC
Molecule: ribosomal RNA, 1491 nt
Filed under: uncultured prokaryote
Description: partial 16S ribosomal RNA
Rfam family: Bacterial small subunit ribosomal RNA
Source: RNAcentral